This is a non-coding RNA of Solanum tuberosum (potato), 93 nucleotides long. NCBI's taxonomy places the organism in Eukaryota, Viridiplantae, Streptophyta, Magnoliopsida, Solanales, Solanaceae. The record is from Rfam.
GGUGGAUUAUUCCAAAGGGAUCGCAUUGAUCCUGUGUCCCAAAUUAAUUAACUGGGGUCUAUGGGAUCAUGCGAUCUCUUCGGAAUUCUCCAU